GGACAAAUGAUUGGGGCGAAGCCGCAACAAGGUAGCCGUAUCGGAAGGUCCGGCUGGAUCACCUCCUUUCUAAGGA
Molecule: ribosomal RNA, 76 nt
Filed under: Staphylococcus gallinarum
Lineage: Bacteria; Bacillati; Bacillota; Bacilli; Caryophanales; Staphylococcaceae
Description: partial 16S ribosomal RNA
Rfam family: Bacterial small subunit ribosomal RNA
Source: RNAcentral